This is a long non-coding RNA of Sander lucioperca (pikeperch), 135 nucleotides long. RefSeq lists it as uncharacterized. The record is from RefSeq and is a predicted model, not a curated record. The transcript is spliced from 3 exons. Lineage: Eukaryota; Metazoa; Chordata; Actinopteri; Perciformes; Percidae.
UAUAAUGUCGGAUUUUCAUGUUAAACAGGGCCAAAACUUCAAAUAAUGAGGUAAACAUAUUUUAGAGAUAUCCCCGUGAGCUAAAAUGUUCAGAUUUCCGGCUGUUCUGAACGUUCCGGUGUGACAUGAGACAGU